GACGAACGCUGGCGGCGUGCCUAAUACAUGCAAGUAGGACGCAGUUGCGAACGGGUGAGUAACGCGUAGGUAACUGCCUAUGAGAGGGGGAUAACUAUUGGAAACGAUAGCUAAUACCGCAUACUAGUAGAUGGACCUGAGUUGUAUUAGCUAGUAGGUAGGGUAAUGGCCUACCUAGGCGAAGAUACAUAGCCGACCUGAGAGGGUGAUCGGCCACACUAGGACUGAGACACGGCCCAGACUCAUACGGGAGGAAGCCGUAGGGAAUCGUCGGCAAUGGGGGCAACCCUGAACGAGCAACGCCGCGUGAGUGAAGAAGGUUUUCGGUCCGUAAAGCUCUGUUGUUAAGGAAGCGUUACUUAACCAGAACGGUACGGCUAACCACGUGCCAGCAGCCGCGGUAAUAC
RNAcentral lists this ribosomal RNA (407 nucleotides) under uncultured bacterium. RNAcentral's name for it is "partial 16S ribosomal RNA". It matches the Rfam family "Bacterial small subunit ribosomal RNA", at positions 28 to 526 of the family's 1533-position model. The record is from RNAcentral.